CAUAGGCGUGCGGACUGCGCACGGGGGUGCCUGGUGCGCACAGGCACCCCCUAAUGUGCGGCACCCCCCACACCUGCUGCAGCACAGUGGAGUAGAGCCCACCGCCGAGUCCAGCUUGCUGCUCUGUAUGCAGUGACUGAGGUCCCGUGCCGUGCCGUGUCCUGCCCUCUGCCCCUACCAGGCAGUUCCUGCUGAUAUGGAGGGUUUUUCUCUCAAAGUGGGCGUGGCCACGGGGGUCCGCGAUUAGGCCACACCCCCAACUUUCCCUGGACCCGGCGAUCUGUGUGCAGCCCUGCAGUUGGAUAUCUAACAGCAGCAAUCCCAUGAAGCCCGGCCAGGAAGGAGAAGCAGCCAUACAUGAUCCAUGAGGAGCAGGAGGAACACUACCCGGCUGGAACAGUCGUGACUGGAACCGCAGCAUGACAGAAGAGCGGCAGGAGGAGGCAACCGGGCACAAACUGCAACAUUGCCAAUUCCACACAGCAAAUGCAGGCACCCUCCCCACCCAUGAGGCAAGUGACACAGACACAGUGUGGUAUCUUCAUGUAUAUAUAGUAUACACUGUACAUGCGUUUUGCACCUGGCUGGCCUGGCCAAAUACAGUAC
Pseudophryne corroboree (corroboree frog) is the source of this 606-nucleotide long non-coding RNA. RefSeq lists it as uncharacterized. The transcript has 3 exons. The record is from RefSeq and is a predicted model, not a curated record. Lineage: Eukaryota; Metazoa; Chordata; Amphibia; Anura; Myobatrachidae.